GACGAACGCUGGCGGCGUGCUUAACACAUGCACGUCGAACGUGAUUUUUGUGGAAAUUCUUUCGGGAAUGGAAAUGAAAUGAAAGUGGCGAACGGGUGAGUAACACGUGAGCAACCUACCUUACACAGGGGGAUAGCCGUUGGAAACGACGAUUAAUACCGCAUGAGACCACAGAAUCGCAUGAUAUAGGGGUCAAAGAUUUAUCGGUGUAAGAAGGGCUCGCGUCUGAUUAGCUAGUUGGAAGGGUAAAGGCCUACCAAGGCGACGAUCAGUAGCCGGUCUGAGAGGAUGAACGGCCACAUUGGAACUGAGACACGGUCCAAACUCCUACGGGAGGCAGCAGUGGGGAAUAUUGCACAAUGGGGGGAACCCUGAUGCAGCGACGCCGCGUGAGCGAAGAAGGUUUUCGAAUCGUAAAGCUCUGUCCUAUGAGAAGAUAAUGACGGUAUCAUAGGAGGAAGCCCCGGCUAAAUACGUG
RNAcentral lists this ribosomal RNA (478 nucleotides) under uncultured bacterium. RNAcentral describes it as "partial 16S ribosomal RNA". It matches the Rfam family "Bacterial small subunit ribosomal RNA", at positions 28 to 507 of the family's 1533-position model. The record is from RNAcentral.